GAUGAACGCUGGCGGCGUGCCUAAUACAUGCAAGUCGAACGAAACUUCUUUAUCACCGAGUGCUUGCACUCACCGAUACAGAGUUGAGUGGCGAACGGGUGAGUAACGCGUGGGCAACCUGCCCAAAAGAGGGGGAUAACACUUGGAAACAGGUGCUAAUACCGCAUAACCAUAGUUACCGCAUGGUAACUAUGUAAAAGGUGGCUAUACUACCGCUUUUGGAUGGGCCCGCGGCGCAUUAGCUAGUUGGUAGGGUAAAGGCUUACCAAGGCAAUGAUGCGUAGCCGAAUUGAGAGGUUGAUCGGCCACAUUGGGACUGAGACACGGCCCAAACUCCUACGGGAGGCAGCAGUAGGGAAUCUUCCACAAUGGGCGAAAGCCUGAUGGAGCAACGCCGCGUGGGUGAAGAAGGUCUUCGGAUCGUAAAACCCUGUUGUUAGAGAAGAAAGUGCGUGAGAGUAACUGUUCACGUUUCGACGGUAUCUAACCAGAAAGCCACGGCUAACUACGUG
This 512-nucleotide ribosomal RNA is filed under the name uncultured bacterium. RNAcentral describes it as "partial 16S ribosomal RNA". It matches the Rfam family "Bacterial small subunit ribosomal RNA", at positions 28 to 507 of the family's 1533-position model. The record is from RNAcentral.